This 460-nucleotide ribosomal RNA is filed under the name uncultured bacterium. RNAcentral describes it as "bacterial SSU rRNA". It matches the Rfam family "Bacterial small subunit ribosomal RNA", at positions 338 to 795 of the family's 1533-position model. The record is from RNAcentral.
CCUANGGGUGGCAGCAGUGAGGAAUAUUGGUCAAUGGGCGAGAGCCUGAACCAGCCAUCCCGCGUGCAGGAAGAAUGCCCUAUGGGUUGUAAACUGCUUUUUCGCAUGAAGAACAUCCCGGUCGUGACCGGGACUGACGGUAAUGCGUGAAUAAGCACCGGCUAACUCCGUGCCAGCAGCCGCGGUAAUACGGAGGGUGCAAGCGUUAUCCGGAUUUAUUGGGUUUAAAGGGUGCGUAGGCGGCAAUUUAAGUCAGUGGUGAAAUCCUGCAGCUCAACUGUAGAACAGCCAUUGAAACUGAAUUACUUGAGUAAUCUUGAGGUAGGCGGAAUGUGUAGUGUAGCGGUGAAAUGCUUAGAUAUUACACAGAACACCGAUUGCGAAGGCAGCUUACUAAGGAUUUACUGACGCUGAUGCACGAAAGCGUGGGGAUCAAACAGGAUUAGAUACCCCANUANUC